This 397-nucleotide ribosomal RNA is filed under the name uncultured bacterium. RNAcentral's name for it is "bacterial SSU rRNA". It matches the Rfam family "Bacterial small subunit ribosomal RNA", at positions 28 to 417 of the family's 1533-position model. The record is from RNAcentral.
GACGAACGCUGGCGGCGUGCCUAACACAUGCAAAGUGGAGCGACGAACCAGGCUUCGGCCUGGGGCAAAAGCCGCGAACGGGUGAGUAACACGUGGGUAACCUGCCCUGAUGAUUGGGACAACCCGAGGAAACUCGGGCUAAUACCGAAUGUGCCCUCCGGCCUCAAGGCCGCUGGGGAAAGGAAGCUUCGGCCUCCGCAUCGGGAUGGGCCCGCGGCCCAUUAGCUUGUUGGUGAGGUAACGGCNCACCAAGGCGACGAUGGGUAGCUGGUCUGAGAGGACGAUCAGCCACACUGGGACUGAGACACGGCCAGACUCCUACGGGAGGCAGCAGUGGGGAAUCUUGCGCAAUGCGCGAAAGCGUGACGCAGCAACGCCGCGUGGGGGAAGAAGGCCU